Molecule: ribosomal RNA, 360 nt
Filed under: uncultured bacterium
Lineage: Bacteria
Description: partial 16S ribosomal RNA
Rfam family: Bacterial small subunit ribosomal RNA
Source: RNAcentral
CCUACGGGAGGCAGCAGUGAGGAAUAUUGGUCAAUGGCCGGAAGGCUGAAGCAGCCAAGCCGCGUGAAGGAAGAAGGUGCCAAGCACUGUAAACUCCUUUUGUCAAGGGACAAAAUCAGGCUCGAGAGUCUGACCGAGGGUACUUGAAGAAAAAGCAUAGGCUAACACCGUUCCAACAGCCGCGGUAAUAUGGAGGAUGAGAGCGUUGUCCGAAUUUAUUGGGUUUAAAGGGUGCGAAGACGGACUGUUAAGUCAGCGGUAAAAGCCAGGGGCUAAACCUCGGCGAGCCGUUGAAACUGGGUGACUUGAGAUGUGGAGAGGUGAGCGGAAUGCGCGGUGUAGCGGUGAAAUGCUUAGAUA